This is a long non-coding RNA of Aricia agestis (brown argus), 264 nucleotides long. RefSeq lists it as uncharacterized. The transcript has 3 exons. The record is from RefSeq and is a predicted model, not a curated record. NCBI's taxonomy places the organism in Eukaryota, Metazoa, Arthropoda, Insecta, Lepidoptera, Lycaenidae.
CUUUUUUGUAUUACGCUACAUACAUUUUAAGGUAAGACCGCACUAGGCGUAACUGAACUGCAGCGGAACUGCGCGACACGACGCGUCAAAAUAUUCUUUGUAUGAAAUUAUAUGAGACAACACGCACUUCGCGGCAACUGAACUGCACUGCAACUGAACUGCGCGGCAAAGUUGAUCAACUGACCAAAAGUGUCGCGACUUGUCGCAACGUGUAGUUCCGUUGCCGCGCAGUGCGGUUUGACAAACUUCAUGUUCAUAGUCAGU